This 2418-nucleotide ribosomal RNA is filed under the name Triticum aestivum (bread wheat). Its description in RNAcentral is "partial small subunit ribosomal RNA". Lineage: Eukaryota; Viridiplantae; Streptophyta; Magnoliopsida; Poales; Poaceae. The record is from RNAcentral.
AUGUCGCUGGCGGGGGAGGCCGUUGUCAACAGAAGCCUCUACUGCUUCGAGCACAUCUCCGGCCGCCCCACCUCCUCCGGCGUCUUCGCCGGCGAUGACCCCCUCAAGUUCUACUUUCCCCUCCUUCUCUACCACAUCUGCAUCAUCUUCAUCCUCUCCCACGCCAUUUACGCCGUGUUCCGCCGUGUUGGCAUCCCGCUGGUCAUCUCCCAGAUCCUCGCCGGCACGCUGCUGGGGCCGUCGUUCCUGGGCCACUACCUCCCGCACAUCGGCGAGGUCUUCGCCACGCCCGAGGGUUGGGUGCAGAUCAACACGGUCGGCGGCUACGCCUUCACGCUCCAUAUCUUCACCAUCGGCGUCAAGACGGACCUCGGCAUGAUCGUCAAGUCCGGGAAGAAGGCCAUCGCCAUCGCCGUCCUUGGCACCGCCGCUCCGCACCUCGCCAUGUACGUCGCCGGCCUCGCGCUCAGCGAUCGCAUCCCCAAGCAAUGGACCGACACCUUCCUCCUCACCAACCUUAACUCCUGGUGGUCGCUCUCGGCCUUCAUUGUCGUCUGCUGCACGCUGGAUGACCUCCACCUCCUCUCCUCCAAGCUCGGCCGCCUCGCCAUGUCCGCCGCCCUCAUCGGAGAUUUCGCCAACACCUUCGCCAUCGCCGGCGUCACAUCCUACCUCCUCCAGGCAAGCCCCGAGGAGAAGCUGCAGCGGAUUGGCUUCGCCUCGUCGCUCUCAUUCACCAUCUUCAUCGCGCUCAUGGGGCUGGUGGCACGGCCGGUGAUCCUGCGGCUGAUCAGGGACGUGCCGGAGGGCGGCAUCCUCUCUGAGUCCCGCCUUGUCGCCGUGCUGCUCAUCUCCAUCACGUGCAGCUUCGCCGGCGAGCUCCUCGGCCUCCACGCGACGUACGGGCCGUUCAUGCUGGGGCUCAUGCUCCCCGGCGGCGCCCCGCUGGGUGUGACCCUGCGAGAGCGGCUAGACCGGCUCGUCGCCGGCGUGCUGACGCCGCUGCUCAUCGCGCAGGGAGGGAUGCGGAUGAACGUCCACAUGAUCAAGGACGCCUCCACCUGCGGCCUGCUUGAGGUGUUCUUGGUCGUCGGCAUCGUCGCCAAGUUUGUAGCGUGCAUGGUGCCGUGCUUGUACUGCCAGAUACCGGUCCGGGAAUCCGUGGCCGUCGGCCUCAUGAUGAACUUCAAGGGCAUCACGGAGGUGGUGUACGCCUCGGCGUUCAUGGAUUCCAAGGUGCUGGACGACCAGGCGUACGCGGCGUUCAUGAUCAACGUGCUGGUGGUCGGCGCCGCGACAGGGGCGGCAGUCAAGUACAUGUACCACCCGGAGGAGAAGUACGUGGCGAACCAGCUGCGCACGGUGGAGAACAAGAAGGUCAGCGAGGAGCUCCGGGUGCUGGCGUGCGUCCACUCGCAGGUGGACGUGGCGCCGGUGGUGGCGCUGCUUGAUGCGUCCAGCCCGACGCCGACUACGCCGGUCUCAGUGUACCUCCUCCACCUUAUGCCGCUCGCCGGGCUCACCAGCUCCGUGCUCCGCUCCUUCAAGCCCGGCGACCAGCACUGCGUCCCGACGGGGUCCAAAGCCACCGAGUCGGAGCGCGUCGUCAACGCCUUCCAGUUCUUCGUGGACCAGCGGCAGCGGGGCUCCUCGUCGCUGCUGCCAUACGUGUGCAUCGCGCCCUACGCCACCAUGCACAACGACGUCUGCACCGUCGCGCUCGAGAAGCGCGCCAUGCUCAUCAUCGUGCCCUUCCACAAGCGCCUCGCCAUUGACGGCUCCGUGGAGCCCACGUCGCCCAACGCCGGCGCCAUCCAGGACACCAACAUCAGCAUACUCAACUACGCGCCCUGCUCGGUCGCCAUCCUCAUCGACCGAGGCAGCCUCUCCGGUGUGGCCAGCACCGCAUCCAUCGACACCAUCGACGGAUUGUUCCCGCAUCGCGUCGCCAUGUACUUCCUCGGCGGGCCGGACGACCGGGAGGCCAUGGCGCUGGCGGCGUACAUGGCGGAGGACGCGCCGAUCGGCCUGACCGUGUUCCGGUUCUUGCUGCCGAUAGAGUGGCAGCAGCGGCUGGACCCCGAGGAGGACGAGCUGGACGAUGAGGCGACGCAGGAGUUCGUCCGGCGGUGGGUAGACGACAACCGGGUCAUGUACAGCCAGCACACGGUCGGCGGCUCCCACGAGAUGGUGGACGUCAUCCGGAACACGAGCGUGGCGUUCGACCUGCUCGUGGUCGGGCGGCGAGCGGAGAGCCUCGAGACGCCGCUGACGGCCGGCAUAUCGGACUGGAGCGAGCACCUGGAGCUCGGCGUUCUCGGGGACCUGCUCACGUCCGCCGACUUUGGUUCCCGGUUGUCCACGCUGGUGGUGCAGCAGCAGACCAAGGCGGCCGCCGGUGAGCUCUGCCCCGUUUGA